RNAcentral lists this ribosomal RNA (387 nucleotides) under uncultured bacterium. RNAcentral's name for it is "bacterial SSU rRNA". It matches the Rfam family "Bacterial small subunit ribosomal RNA", at positions 28 to 417 of the family's 1533-position model. The record is from RNAcentral.
GACGAACGCUGGCGGCGUGCUUAACACAUGCAAGUCGAGCGGUAAGGCCCUUUCGGGGGUACACGAGCGGCGAACGGGUGAGUAACACGUGGGUGACCUGCCCUUAGCUCUGGGAUAAGCCUGGGAAACUGGGUCUAAUACCGGAUAUGACUCCAUGACGCAUGUUGUGGGGUGGAAAGCCUUGUGCGGCUAGGGAUGGGCCCGCGGCCUAUCAGCUUGUUGGUGGGGUGAUGGCCUACCAAGGCGACGACGGUAGCCGGCCUGAGAGGGCGACCGGCCACACUGGGACUGAGACACGGCCCAGACUCCUACGGGAGGCAGCAGUGGGGAAUCUUGCGCAAUGGGCGAAAGCCUGACGCAGCGACGCCGCGUGAGGGAUGACGGCCU